RNAcentral lists this ribosomal RNA (408 nucleotides) under uncultured bacterium. RNAcentral's name for it is "bacterial SSU rRNA". It matches the Rfam family "Bacterial small subunit ribosomal RNA", at positions 28 to 438 of the family's 1533-position model. The record is from RNAcentral.
GAUGAACGCUAGCGGCAGGCUUAACACAUGCAAGUCGAGGGGUAUAGUUCUUCGGAAUUAGAGACCGGCGCACGGGUGCGUAACGCGUAUGCAAUCUACCUUUCACAGAGGGAUAGCCCCAGAGAAAUUUGGAUUAAUACCUCAUAGUAUAGCAGUUUCGCAUGAAACCACUAUUAAAGUCACAACGGUGAAAGAUGAGCAUGCGUCCCAUUAGCUAGUUGGUAAGGUAACGGCUUACCAAGGCAACGAUGGGUAGGGGUCCUGAGAGGGAGAUCCCCCACACUGGUACUGAGACACGGACCAGACUCCUACGGGAGGCAGCAGUGAGGAAUAUGGACAAUGGGCGCAAGCCUGAUCCAGCCAUGCCGCGUGCAGGAUGACGGUCCUAUGGAUUGUAAACUGCUUUUA